Molecule: ribosomal RNA, 460 nt
Filed under: uncultured bacterium
Lineage: Bacteria
Description: partial 16S ribosomal RNA
Rfam family: Bacterial small subunit ribosomal RNA
Source: RNAcentral
CCUACGGGUGGCAGCAGUGAGGAAUAUUGGUCAAUGGGCGGGAGCCUGAACCAGCCAAGUCGCGUGAGGGAAGACGGUCCUACGGAUUGUAAACCUCUUUUGCCGGGGAGCAACGGGGUCCUUGCGAGGGCCCGAUGAGAGUACCCGGAGAAAAAGCAUCGGCUAACUCGGUGCAAGCAGCCGCGGUAAUACGGAGGAUGCGGGCGUUUUCCGAAUUUAUUGGGUUUAAAGGGUGCGUGGGGGGGCUGUUAGGUAAGAGGUCAAAUGUCGGGGCCCAACGACGGCCUGCCGUUGAAACUGGCUGACUUGAGUGGGCGAGAAGUAUGCGGCAUGCGUGGUGUAGCGGUGAAAUGCAUAGAUAUCACGAAGAACUCCGAUUGCGAAGGCAGCAUACCGGACCCCGACUGACGCUGAGGCACGAAAGCGUGGGUAUCGAACAGGAUUAGAUACCCUAGUAGUC